Non-coding RNA from Danio rerio (zebrafish), 72 nucleotides. NCBI's taxonomy places the organism in Eukaryota, Metazoa, Chordata, Actinopteri, Cypriniformes, Danionidae. The record is from Rfam.
UCCCUGGUGGUCUUGUGGUUAGGACUUAGCGCUCUUACCGCUGUGGCCUGGGUUCAAUUCCUGGUCAUGGAG